GACGAACGCUGGCGGCGUGCUUAACACAUGCAAGUCGAACGGAAAGGCCUCUUUCGGGGGGUACUCGAGUGGCGAACGGGUGAGUAACACGUGAGUAACCUGCCCUUGACUUUGGGAUAACUUCAGGAAACUGGGGCUAAUACCGGAUAGGAGCUCCUGCUGCAUGGUGGGGGUUGGAAAGUUUCGGCGGUUGGGGAUGGACUCGCGGCUUAUCAGCUUGUUGGUGGGGUAGUGGCUUACCAAGGCUUUGACGGGUAGCCGGCCUGAGAGGGUGACCGGCGACAUUGGGACUGAGAUACGGCCCAGACUCCUACGGGAGGCAGCAGUGGGGAAUAUUGCACAAUGGGUGGAAGCCUGAUGCAGCAACGCCGUGUGCGGGAUGACGGUCUUCUGGUUGUAAACCGCUUUCGCUCAUGACGAAGCUUUGUGUGACGGUAGUGGGUAAAGAAGCACCGGCUAACUACGUG
Molecule: ribosomal RNA, 467 nt
Filed under: uncultured bacterium
Lineage: Bacteria
Description: partial 16S ribosomal RNA
Rfam family: Bacterial small subunit ribosomal RNA
Source: RNAcentral